GCGAUUUUCCUGCCUCAGCCUCCCAAGUAGCUGGGAUUUACAGCUGGAUCUACCAUGAAAGACUUCAGAGUCCAGGAAGAGAGACUGACUGGGCAACAUGUUAUUCAGGAAGUGGUGAAUUAAGUGUGGCAGGAAUACUUUGUAGCGACAGUAAUUUGCUUGUAUGGAAUUUUGCCUGAGAGACCUCACUACAGUUUCUAAUCUUUUGAUGUUAUCAUCCAUCCCUGUCCUUGUCAAAUAGUUUGGAAUAGGUAUGAUGAUCACAAUAACACCAAGCAUAAUAUCUCAUUAAUUCUCACAAAAUGACAGGUAGGUGCCACAGUUAUCCUCAUUUUAUGAAUGAAGUGAUGAAGACUUAGGGAUAAUGAAUGA
Molecule: long non-coding RNA, 372 nt
Filed under: Homo sapiens (human)
Lineage: Eukaryota; Metazoa; Chordata; Mammalia; Primates; Hominidae
Description: HSALNT0340979
Source: RNAcentral